RNAcentral lists this ribosomal RNA (377 nucleotides) under Amorphoscelis sp. MN327. RNAcentral describes it as "partial 12S ribosomal RNA". The record is from RNAcentral. Lineage: Eukaryota; Metazoa; Arthropoda; Insecta; Mantodea; Hymenopodidae.
AUACCCUAUUAUUUUUAGUAUAAAAUAAUGUAGAUCAGAGUAGUUUUAGUUAAGUUCUUAAAACUUAAAGAAUUUGGCGGUAUUAUAAUCUAUUUAGAGGAAUCUGUUAUGUAAUCGAUAGUCCACGUUGAACCUUACUUAUAUUAUUUCUUGUAUAUCGCUGUUUAGUGAUUAUAUUUUGAAGUUAUAAUCUUAAUAAAUUAAUAAUUAAUAUUUCAAGUCAAGGUGCAGUUAUGUAUAAGAUGAAUAAUGGAUUACAAUAAAUAAAAUUUAAAUGGAUAUUUUUUUUGUAAGUUGAAUAUGGAAGGUGGAUUUAAUUGUAAUUUUUUAAAAGAUUUGUUUUGUGAUUUUAGCUCUAUAAUAUGUACACAUCNCCC